GGGAUCGUCUCGGAGACAUUGGUAAGGCCAGCCACCAGGGUUUCACCGACGGUUCAGGAUUCAAGGGGUUCAAACUACCGGCCAGCUACAACGCAUCGGCGAAUGUCAAGUGCCAGAGGUGUAGUAGGUGGCGCUUUGACCACAUCGGACGCAAGUGCGAGUGCGCGGAGCCGCAAUGGCCGAAUGUACGGGCGCAGCAGGGGCGAACCAUGCAGGAAUGGCACCACCAGUGGGCGGCCGAGUGCCUGCGCGUGCUGAAACCGGGCGGGCACCUGCUCGCGUUCGGCGGUUCGCGCACCUGGCACCGGCUAGCGGCGGCGAUCGAGGACGCCGGGUUCGAGAUCCGCGACUCCA
Molecule: non-coding RNA, 354 nt
Filed under: Mycobacterium phage Spoonbill
Lineage: Duplodnaviria; Heunggongvirae; Uroviricota; Caudoviricetes
Source: RNAcentral